Long non-coding RNA from Nanorana parkeri, 210 nucleotides. RefSeq lists it as uncharacterized. The transcript has 3 exons. The record is from RefSeq and is a predicted model, not a curated record. Lineage: Eukaryota; Metazoa; Chordata; Amphibia; Anura; Dicroglossidae.
AAGGCCUGAUUGUCGUUAAAGUUGAAGAUGAAGAAGUGAUGUCCACGAUGGAUGAUGAGCCGUGUAAGGAGGAGGAACGUUCUCUAGAGAUCAGCACAGACCCCGGAGACACUCAGAGAGACGUCAAAUCUGAGGAGGAGGAAGAAGGACAUGUGAAGAUUAAAGAGGAGGAAGUUCCUAUAGAGAUCAGCACAAGUGAAUGGCCAACAC